AGCAGCCGCGGUAAUUCCAGCUCCAAUAGCGUAUAUUAAAGUUGUUGCAGUUAAAAAGCUCGUAGUUGAAUUUCGGGAUCAAAUUAUCGGUCGUGCCUCGGUACGUACUGGUAUUAUUGGUUCCUACCUUCUGAAGAACCGCGAUGUCAUUAAUUUGGUGUCGUGGGGAAUCAGGACUGUUACUUUGAAAAAAUUAGAGUGUUUAAAGCAGGCUUACGCUUGAAUACAUUAGCAUGGAAUAAUGAAAUAGGACGUUUGAUUCUAUUUUGUUGGUUUCUAGGAUUGACGUAAUGAUUAAUAGGGAUAGUUGGGGGCAUUAGUAUUCAAUUGUCAGAGGUGAAAUUCUUGGGUUUAUUGAAGACUAACUACUGCGAAAGCAUUUGCCAAGGAUGUUUUCAUUAAUCAAGAACGAAAGUUAGGGGAUCGAAGACGAUCAGAUACCGUCGUAGU
RNAcentral lists this ribosomal RNA (450 nucleotides) under uncultured Glomeromycotina. RNAcentral describes it as "SSU rRNA". It matches the Rfam family "Eukaryotic small subunit ribosomal RNA", at positions 569 to 1024 of the family's 1831-position model. The record is from RNAcentral. Lineage: Eukaryota; Fungi; Glomeromycota.